AUCUUGAAAACGUGGACUUGGAGAAAGAAGCAUAAUUAUUCAACUUCUUUCAUUAUUCAUCUUCCUUCUCUCUCAACUCCAAAAAUCUAAAUUCUAGAUCUCUCAUAGCAACCUUCUCCAAAUCUUCAAUAGAGUUAGAGAUCUUACUUAAUUUGGAAGCUUCUUGAUUUGGUGAGUCUUUAUUGCUUAUGUUUAUUGUUUUGAAUACAUGUUUAACUUGAAACUCUAGUUGUAUGAAACAUGUUAUAGAAUUCUCUGGAUAGUAUGUAUAUUUUGUAUUAAAUCAUGGCCAUCGAAAAUGAUUUUUGAGAAUAACCUUAUCUUUUUAUAAACUAGACAUCUAGGGAUUAUUGAAUAAAUUUUGUUUCAUAAGAUUUGACUUUAUUUUCGAUUUUAUAUAGAUUUUUGAAUCUGACACUGUUGCACUAGAAAACUGCUGUUCCAGCAGAAUGACCAAAUUCACAAACUUAUUUAUACCGUAAAAUGAACUCGAAAAAUUCUGAAUUUUUAAACUGAAGUUAAUAUAUCUGUCUAGUAUUUCCAGUUUUAAUUUCAUAAUUUUAUGAUUAGUACAUAAUUUCAUAAAAAUCUUGGAACCAAUACUGUUCUGUUAAGGCACUGUGAGACAGUUUUGAGUCUAUCAAGAAACAAAUAGUUUUGAAAAUGUUUUUGGUAUCGGAUCCUCCUGAAAAUUUUAGAGGAGAUACCUAUGGAUAUCUAGAACAUAUUUGCAUGAUAUCAUAUCGUUUUGAUGAUUAGAGUAAGAGUUAAAAUCUACAGAAUCAGACUUGUACCGGCAUGAAUUAGAAAAUCAGGUUCUCGGAAUAAGUUGUUAUUAAUUAUGUCUUGUAUCUUUUUAAGGUGUUGGAGAUAUUUAAGGUUUUUAAAAGCUUAGAGGUGUGUUUCAAUUAUUACCUUAUCGAAGUAAGUAACUCUAUUCCUAGUGUACUGGAUAUGUAUAAUAAUUUUGAUAAUUUAAUAUUAUUACAAGUACAUAUUUUUCUUAGUUCUUUGUAACCAAAUUAAUUUAUGUAAUGUUUUCAAAUCUGAAAAUUAUAUUAUUUUUAUGGUUUUAACAAAUAUUAUAAAUGCUUUAAAUGUGUAAUUUAUUUUUACUAAAUAAUUAUAUCUUCGAAAUUGUCUAUAAAAUGUUGGAAUGGAAAUUGUUCUGCAAGCCUAAAUCAUUGUUAUGAUCUUUUAUGAAUUCAAUAUGAAUGUUUUAUUCGUAUUUGAUUUAAGAUUAUCUAUGAAAAUCAUGCGAGGGCCACCUCUUGAGACUAUAUGGGGGCCACCUCUCGAGGGCUAAAUGCCACGAAGUGCCACGUGUAAUUUGCAACAAAUGAAAAAUGAAUUUAAAUGUUUUGGCUCAUUGUCUGUGGUUAUUAUGAUUCCUAUUCUGCUCGUAUUAUACGAUAUAAAUAUAUAUAUGUUCUGUACCAGUAUUGGGUUUCUAUUCUGAGUGUGCACACGAUAUUUUGAUUCUAGCCGGGUCACCGGGACUAUAAGUGACACUAUGUGACAUGAGCUAAUUUUUUGUUUUCUGUGAAUGUGUUAUAUGAUUUGUUUUCGAAAGUAACUAUGCUUUGAUAUUUUGAAUUAUUCUGAAUUAAUGUUAUGUUAUCAUGAUAUGUCGCUUUAUGAAAUUUAUGAAUUAUGAUAUAUGUUUUACUAAAAAGAAGGCUUGCAAUAUUUUUGGAAUCGAUAGGCCUAAUGAGUUAGGAAUAAUUUUACUUACAGAGUUGAUGGCUCACCCCUCGUCAUUACUUUUUACAGAUUAAAUGACUUGUUCAUAAGUGUGGUUAUCUUUGGAGCUAGAGAUUUAUUUACUUGCUAAAUUGAAUAAAGGAAGAAUGAAUUUCUUUAGCCUUUAAGUUUGUUGGCCUUUUGAAUUUGUAUUUGGAGAGUUUGAGGCAUUUGUUACUUUUAUGACUUGGGAGAAAAUGUCUAAUAUUUGAUUUGUGAAAUUUUUGAUCUGUUUAAUAAAAUUUGAGGUAUUUUAGUUCGUAAUUUUUGUAUAAGGAUUUUUAUUUUGUUAGUAACCUCAUAUUACCACGUGCUCCGCACGUGUUAAUUUUGGGUGUUACAUAAAUUGUUUUCAAUUGAUUGAGUACUAAAUUUGUUUACAUAAAAAUACUGUGUUGCAGUCACAUAAGAGCUUUUAAAGUCUCCUUUACUAUAUAAAUUAGUAUUUAACA
Molecule: long non-coding RNA, 2195 nt
Filed under: Citrus maxima (pomelo)
Lineage: Eukaryota; Viridiplantae; Streptophyta; Magnoliopsida; Sapindales; Rutaceae
Description: long non-coding RNA (CMAX_LNC000826)
Source: RNAcentral